AAGAUGUGAAGUUACAUCAAUAUACUUGCAAACAUAAGACAGAGCACAGACUUCAUAUCUUUGCUAUCGGCUAGAGCUUCAGCUCCGAUCCCUAAGUUAAUAUUCACAUCUUCUCAGUAACAAUGCAGUUAUGCCCAACUUCUGGUCACACAAGGAUCAUGGACUGAUUACAGGUCACGAUUACAACAUGAGCACAAGAGCAAGCAUACACAUGCCAAAAGACAGAAUAUGCGUUGACUGAAUAACCUGCACGGAAGGCAUUAGCACUACAUUAAUGUCCCUAAAAUCUACACCAAAAAUGUAGCAAAAAUCCUGACAAUUAGAAUAUAUUGCAAAACAGAAUGCCAAAGACAGUUCAGUAUAUAUUACCAAUGCAACUCAGUUAUCAACAAAAUGAGCUAACUAAUUUAACUGGGCAAAAAUGGAUUUGAUUGUGGUAACCAGUUAGAACACAAGGUAACAAUGUCUCACGUGCUUGAGGCUGGUGCAGGGUAGGUUGGACCUAGCGAAGGACUGGAUCCAUCGGUGCGAUUUAUGCGGCCAUAUCUAUCUGCAAGGGCGAACGGCGAGAUGGUCAUCGAAGAAGCAUUAGAGCAACAAAAGUCGUCGUGAACCUUUGGUUCUAUGGAGGGCAGGUAAAAGUAAAAUUUUGUUCCAAAAUUAUUUGAUAACAAGUUAAGUUCGAAUGUGAAAUUUGAGAUUAUAACAGUACAAAAAAUAACUAUGAAAUGCUGAGGAUCAUCUCCCUUCAGAAAUGUCAUCAAUUAAGAAUGCUAAAAAGAUCAUCACAAAUUACCUGAAGGCCUUAUCUCUGCUGUAAAGAGAUGAUUGUAGGGGCACUUAUACAAAGACAAUGUCUUCUCCUCAAAGUGCACGGCCAACGCGGAAUUUGCUGCCUUCAGUCUGUCCUAAUUUUGCCAUGCACCCCAUGUCUGAUUAUCCACAAGAGCUCUGACAAACAACGAAUCAGCUGGACCAUGAAACAGAAGGACAAUAAAUUUACGAGGAAGGUAAUUU
This 1017-nucleotide long non-coding RNA is filed under the name Triticum aestivum (bread wheat). RNAcentral's name for it is "long non-coding RNA (TAES_LNC018633)". The record is from RNAcentral. Lineage: Eukaryota; Viridiplantae; Streptophyta; Magnoliopsida; Poales; Poaceae.